RNAcentral lists this ribosomal RNA (97 nucleotides) under Rhododendron molle. Lineage: Eukaryota; Viridiplantae; Streptophyta; Magnoliopsida; Ericales; Ericaceae. The record is from RNAcentral.
GAUACCAAAGACUAAUGCACCGGAUCCCAUCGGAACUCCGCAGCGUGCUUUGGCGAGAGUAGUACUAGGAUGGUUGCCUGGAAGUCCUCGUGUUGCA